AUUGAACGCUGGCGGCAGGCUUAACACAUGCAAGUCGAGCGAGCGGCGGACGGGUGAGUAAUGUCUGGGAAACUGCCUGAUGGAGGGGGAUAACUACUGGAAACGGUAGCUAAUACCGCAUACCAUCAGAUGUGCCCAGAUGGGAUUAGCUAGUAGGUGGGGUAAUGGCUCACCUAGGCGACGAUCCCUAGCUGGUCUGAGAGGAUGACCAGCAACACUGGAAGUGAAACACGGUCCAGACUCCUACGGGAGGCAGAAGUGGGAAAUAUUGCAAAAUGGGGGAAAGCCGGAUGCAGCAAUGCGGCGUGGGUGAAGAGGGCCUUCGGGUUGUAAAGCACUUUGAGCGAGGAGGCGUUACUCGAAGAAGAAGCACCGGCUAACUCCGUGCCAGCAGCCGCGGUAAUAC
RNAcentral lists this ribosomal RNA (406 nucleotides) under uncultured bacterium. RNAcentral's name for it is "partial 16S ribosomal RNA". It matches the Rfam family "Bacterial small subunit ribosomal RNA", at positions 29 to 526 of the family's 1533-position model. The record is from RNAcentral.